RNAcentral lists this long non-coding RNA (601 nucleotides) under Oryza sativa Indica Group (long-grained rice). RNAcentral describes it as "lncRNA OsMH63_01G037140". Lineage: Eukaryota; Viridiplantae; Streptophyta; Magnoliopsida; Poales; Poaceae. The record is from RNAcentral.
AUGGCGGCGGCGAGCCCGCCGGCCGAGGCGAAGGGCGACCGUCUGAUGGCUCAGGCGCGGCGGGAGCUCACGGGGUUCUGGUCCUGCCUGUUGCCCGCCAGCGCCACCUACUCGUACGCCGCCGGCUUCUUCGAGGAGGCCGCCAAAGCCUAUCGCCUCGCCAAGAAUUCUCGGGAGAAAAGCCGCGUUGGCACAUCACGAAUAUGGCACAUGGGUCGAGAUUGUAGGCUGGCAGCUGCGGUGGUGCUAUGGGAAUCAGCGGAAUGCCACAUGCGGGAUUUCGACCCGGACGACGAGCAAACCGCACGCACCAUUGAGAGCGACCUGAAGAGGUCGGUGCGCAUGCUCGUCCUGGAGAACCAGCCGCAGCUGGCGGCGUCCGCCUGCGAGGAGCUAGCCCGGAUGUACGUGGCGCGGAGGCGGUGGACGGAGGCGAGGGAGUGGUACGAGCGAGCCGCGGGGUACUACGCCGACACCGGGGAGCCGUACUGCAUCCAGCUCUGCAGGCCCAGGGCUCUACAGGAAGCCGUCUCCGCCGCCGUCAGAGGAGCAGUAGCAGUAAUGUUAGGCCCUGUUCAGAUGCCAUCCUAAAAUUUUUCAC